UGGCGGACGGGUGAGUAAUGUCUGGGAAACUGCCCGAUGGAGGGGGAUAACUACUGGAAACGGUAGCUAAUACCGCAUAACGUCGCAAGACCAAAGAGGGGGACCUUCGGGCCUCUUGCCAUCGGAUGUGCCCAGAUGGGAUUAGCUAGUAGGUGGGGUAACGGCUUACCUAGGCGACGAUCCCUAGCUGGUCUGAGAGGAUGAUCAGCCACACUGGGACUGAGACACGGUCCAG
RNAcentral lists this ribosomal RNA (235 nucleotides) under uncultured bacterium. RNAcentral's name for it is "partial 16S ribosomal RNA". It matches the Rfam family "Bacterial small subunit ribosomal RNA", at positions 96 to 334 of the family's 1533-position model. The record is from RNAcentral.